GAUAUCUUAUCUCGCCGCCCGUCCGAGGCGGACGGAGGGAUGGAUGAGGUUACCUAGGAAAAAAUCGGGGCGAUCUAGGCGGGCGAACCUCGCCAACGAACGAUCGGACAUGGGAUAACGGAAGAGGGCGUCGGCUCGACUUCGUCGGUUCCGUCGGGCCGAGGCACGUACGGUGAAUAGGGACGGUCGGGGCCGCCCGUACCGGGUCGUGAGAGGUGAAAUUCUAGGAUCGACCCGAGACGAACUGCCGCGAAAGCAUUCGGCAAGGACGCUUUCAUUAAUCAAGAACGAAAGUCGGGGGAUCGAAGACGAUCAGAUACCGUCGUAGUCCCGACCGUAAACGAUGCCGACCGAGGGCCCGGAGGAGUUACGUACGACCCUCCGGGCCCUCCCGCGAGAAAUCAGGAGUAUUCGGGUUCCGGGGGGAGUAUGGUCGCAAGGCCGAAACUUAAAGGAAUUGACGGAAGGGC
Molecule: ribosomal RNA, 470 nt
Filed under: uncultured eukaryote
Lineage: Eukaryota
Description: bacterial SSU rRNA
Rfam family: Eukaryotic small subunit ribosomal RNA
Source: RNAcentral